RNAcentral lists this ribosomal RNA (307 nucleotides) under uncultured bacterium. RNAcentral's name for it is "partial 16S ribosomal RNA". It matches the Rfam family "Bacterial small subunit ribosomal RNA", at positions 506 to 808 of the family's 1533-position model. The record is from RNAcentral.
AGACAGCAGCCGCCACGGUAAUACGUAGGUGGCAAGCGUUGUCCGGAAUUAUUGGGCGUAAAGGGAGCGCAGGUGGGACGGUAAGUCCGUCUUAAAAGGCAGGGGCUCAGCCCCUGUAAGGGAUGGAAACUAUCGAUCUUGAGUGCCGGGGAGGAAAGCGGAAUUCCCAGUGUAGCGGUGAAAUGCGUAGAUAUUGGGAAGAACACCAGUGGCGAAGGCGGCUUUCUGGACGGCAACUGACACUGAGGCUCGAAAGCCAGGGGAGCGAACGGGAUUAGAUACCCCUGUAGUCCCUGUCUCUUAUACC